Transfer RNA from Trichosporon asahii var. asahii CBS 8904, 72 nucleotides. It matches the Rfam family "tRNA". From Rfam's summary of the family: Transfer RNA (tRNA) molecules are approximately 80 nucleotides in length. Their secondary structure includes four short double-helical elements and three loops (D, anti-codon, and T loops). Further hydrogen bonds mediate the characteristic L-shaped molecular structure. tRNAs have two regions of fundamental functional importance: the anti-codon, which is responsible for specific mRNA codon recognition, and the 3' end, to which the tRNAs corresponding amino acid is attached (by aminoacyl-tRNA synthetases). tRNAs cope with the degeneracy of the genetic code in two manners: having more than one tRNA (with a specific anti-codon) for a particular amino acid; and 'wobble' base-pairing, i.e. permitting non-standard base-pairing at the 3rd anti-codon position. NCBI's taxonomy places the organism in Eukaryota, Fungi, Basidiomycota, Tremellomycetes, Trichosporonales, Trichosporonaceae. The record is from Rfam.
GCCCCUAUAGUAUAAUGGUCAGUACGCGAGUCUCAUAAUCUCUAGAUCUCAGUUCGAUUCUGAGUGGGGGCA